RNAcentral lists this ribosomal RNA (402 nucleotides) under uncultured Rikenellaceae bacterium. RNAcentral describes it as "bacterial SSU rRNA". It matches the Rfam family "Bacterial small subunit ribosomal RNA", at positions 981 to 1382 of the family's 1533-position model. The record is from RNAcentral. Lineage: Bacteria; Pseudomonadati; Bacteroidota; Bacteroidia; Bacteroidales; Rikenellaceae.
UCGAACGGUGCAGGAAUAUGGUAGAGAUAUCAUAGCUAGCAAUAGUCUGUAUCGAGGUGCUGCAUGGUUGUCGUCAGCUCGUGCUGUGAGGUGUCGGGCUUAAGUGCCAUAACGAGCGCAACCCUUGUCGUUAGUUACCAUCAAGUAAUGUUGGGGACUCUAGCGAGACUGCCACCGUAAGGUGUGAGGAAGGGGGGGAUGACGUCAAAUCAGCACGGCCCUUACGUCCGGGGCGACACACGUGUUACAAUGGUAGGUACAGAGGGGCGCUAUCCAGCGAUGGAGUGCGAAUCUCAAAAACCUAUCUCAGUUCGGAUCGGAGUCUGCAACUCGACUCCGUGAAGUUGGAUUCGCUGGUAAUCGCGCAUCAGCCAUGGCGCGGUGAAUACGUUCCCGGGCCUU